GAUGAAGAACGUAGUGAAAUGCGAUAAGUAAUGUGAAUUGCAGAAUUCAGUGAAUCAUCGAAUCUUUGAACGCACCUUGCGCUCUUUGGUAUUCCGAAGAGCAUGCCUGUUUGAGCGUCAUGAAAAUAUCAACCUUGACUUGGGUUUUGUGCUCUAGUCUCGGCUUGGAAUUGGGUGCUUGCCGCUUUUACGAGCGGCUCACCUUAAAUGUAUUAGCUGGAUCUGUCUUUGAGACUUGGUUUGACUUGGCGUAAUAAGUAUUUCGCUAAGGACAUUCUUCGGAGUGGCCUCGUUUCUAGGACGCUUGUCCGCUUUCCAAUACAAGUUCCACCUCGUGGACAUGACUUUUUAUUAUCUGGCCUCAAAUCAGGUAGGACUACCCGCUGAACUUAAGCAUAUCAAUAAGCGGAGGA
This 413-nucleotide unclassified non-coding RNA is filed under the name soil metagenome. Its description in RNAcentral is "partial contains 5.8S ribosomal RNA, internal transcribed spacer 2, and large subunit ribosomal RNA". The stretch from base 1 to 120 matches the Rfam family "5.8S ribosomal RNA", at positions 35 to 154 of the family's 154-position model. The record is from RNAcentral.